This 76-nucleotide transfer RNA is filed under the name Abrus expansivus. Its description in RNAcentral is "tRNA-Trp". The record is from RNAcentral. Lineage: Eukaryota; Metazoa; Arthropoda; Insecta; Hemiptera; Cicadellidae.
AGGACUUUAAGUUAAUUUAAAGUAAACUCUUAACCUUCAAAGUUAUAAAUAUCUAAAAAAAAUCAGGUAAGUCUUA